GGAUUAGAUACCCUGGUAGUCCUUGCCGUAAACGAUGCAUACUUGGUGUAGUUGGUCUCAACCCCGACUGUGCCGUAGCUAACGCGUUAAGUAUGCCACCUGGGGAGUACGCUCGCAAGGGUGAAACUCAAAAGAAUUGACGGGGGCCCGCACAAGCAGUGGAGCAUGUGGUUUAAUUCGAUGCAACGCGAAGAACCUUACCCAGGCUUGACAUUUUGAGGACCGCAUUAGAGAUAAUGUUUCCCGUAAGGGCCUCUUGACAGGUGCUGCAUGGCUGUCGUCAGCUCGUGCC
This 292-nucleotide ribosomal RNA is filed under the name uncultured bacterium. RNAcentral's name for it is "partial 16S ribosomal RNA". It matches the Rfam family "Bacterial small subunit ribosomal RNA", at positions 775 to 1066 of the family's 1533-position model. The record is from RNAcentral.